CAAACAAUAACACGAUAGUACAGUACGAGGGUACGGUGUGGCACGCGCACGUGCUCGUGUGUAGGAUAUACUGAGCGCAGGGUGGUCGCUUUAAUCCGUUUAUUUUCGAAACUUUGUGCAUCCUCAUGACAAGAAGUAAGAAAUUAGUCUCUGAGGAAUCGCUGGCACAUGUAAUUUGGGAAGGCCUCAUUGCCAGGUGAAUGUACUGCCGUUGCUGCCUACAUGAACGUUGAGGCUGGCUAGCGUCAUGGUGCGAGUGGACUGACAGAUGAAUCUCUAAAGUGAAGAGGCUUUUACGUCAUAAGUAGCACAGACCUCCUCAUAUGAAAGCUGUGGGUAUGCCCCAGGAGAAU
This is a long non-coding RNA of Acanthaster planci (crown-of-thorns starfish), 353 nucleotides long. RefSeq lists it as uncharacterized. Lineage: Eukaryota; Metazoa; Echinodermata; Asteroidea; Valvatida; Acanthasteridae. The record is from RefSeq and is a predicted model, not a curated record.